This 516-nucleotide ribosomal RNA is filed under the name uncultured bacterium. RNAcentral describes it as "bacterial SSU rRNA". It matches the Rfam family "Bacterial small subunit ribosomal RNA", at positions 8 to 503 of the family's 1533-position model. The record is from RNAcentral.
AGAGUUUGUCCUGGCUCAGAACGAACGCUGGCGGCGUGGCUAAGACAUGCAAGUCGAACGGACUAUCUUAUUGAGUAAUCAAGCGGAUAGUUAGUGGCGAAAGGGUUAGUAAUGGUUAGGUAAUGUACCCUGUGCUUCGGAAUAGCGUCUCCUGUACCGUAAGGUACAGGAUUCCGAAAGGGGCGGUAAUACCGGAUAAUAUUAUCUGUCGAUAGGCAGAUGAUCAAAGAUUUAUCGGCAUAGGAGCGGCCUACCCCCCAUCAGCUUGUUGGUGAGGUAAUGGCUCACCAAGGCUAUGACGGGUAGCGGGACUGAGAGGUUGGCCCGCAACAUCGGGACUGAGACACUGCCCGGACCUCCACGGAGGGCUGCAGUAACGAAUAUUGCGCAAUGGGCGAAAGCCUGACGCAGCGACGCCGCGUGCGGGAAGAAGUUCCUUGGGAUGUAAACCGCUGUCAGGGGGAAGAAAGUGCGCUUCGGCGCAUUGAUCUAACCCGAAGGAAGUCACGCUAACUU